This 455-nucleotide ribosomal RNA is filed under the name uncultured organism. Its description in RNAcentral is "partial 16S ribosomal RNA". It matches the Rfam family "Bacterial small subunit ribosomal RNA", at positions 335 to 799 of the family's 1533-position model. The record is from RNAcentral.
ACUCCUCGGGAGGCAGCAGUGGGGAAUAUUGCACAAUGGGCGCAAGCCUGAUGCAGCGACGCCGCGUGGGGGAUGAAGGCCUUCGGGUUGUAAACUCCUUUCGCUAGGGACGAAGCUUUUUUGUGACGGUACCUAGAUAAGAAGCACCGACUAACUACGUGCCAGCAGCCGCGGUAAUACGUAGGGUGCGAGCGUUGUCCGGAAUUACUGGGCGUAAAGGGCUCGUAGGUGGUUUGUCGCGUCGUCUGUGAAAUUCUGGGGCUUAACUCCGGGCGUGCAGGCGAUACGGGCAUAACUUGAGUGCUGUAGGGGUAACUGGAAUUCCUGGUGUAGCGGUGAAAUGCGCAGAUAUCAGGAGGAACACCGAUGGCGAAGGCAGGUUACUGGGCAGUUACUGACGCUGAGGAGCGAAAGCAUGGGUAGCGAACAGGAUUAGAUACCCCUGUAGUCCCAUG